UAAACUGAGGGACGAACUAUCGUCGCAC
This 28-nucleotide small RNA is filed under the name Bombyx mori (domestic silkworm). RNAcentral describes it as "ovarian small RNA-18234". The record is from RNAcentral. Lineage: Eukaryota; Metazoa; Arthropoda; Insecta; Lepidoptera; Bombycidae.